GGAUUAGAUACCCUGGUAGUCCACGCCGUAAACGAUGAGUGCUAAGUGUUAGGGGGUUUCCGCCCCUUAGUGCUGCAGCUAACGCAUUAAGCACUCCGCCUGGGGAGUACGACCGCAAGGUUGAAACUCAAAGGAAUUGACGGGGGCCCGCACAAGCGGUGGAGCAUGUGGUUUAAUUCGAAGCAACGCGAAGAACCUUACCAGGUCUUGACAUCCUUUGACCACUCUGGAGACAGAGCUUUCCCUUCGGGGACAAAGUGACAGGUGGUGCAUGGUUGUCGUCAGCUCGUGUCGUGAGAUGUUGGGUUAAGUCCCGCAACGAGCGCAACCCUUGAUUUUAGUUGCCAGCAUUUAGUUGGGCACUCUAAAGUGACUGCCGGUGCAAGCCGGAGGAAGGUGGGGAUGACGUCAAAUCAUCAUGCCCCUUAUGACCUGGGCUACACACGUGCUACAAUGGAUAGUACAAAGGGUCGCGAAGCCGCGAGGUGGAGCUAAUCCCAUAAAACUAUUCUCAGUUCGGAUUGUAGGCUGCAACUCGCCUACAUGAAGCCGGAAUCGCUAGUAAUCGUGGAUCAGCAUGCCACGGUGAAUACGUUCCCGGGCCUUGUACACACCGCCCGUCACACCACGAGAGUUUGUAAC
Molecule: ribosomal RNA, 642 nt
Filed under: Listeria monocytogenes
Lineage: Bacteria; Bacillati; Bacillota; Bacilli; Caryophanales; Listeriaceae
Description: bacterial SSU rRNA
Rfam family: Bacterial small subunit ribosomal RNA
Source: RNAcentral